GAUGAAGAACGCAGCGAAAUGCGAUACGUAAUGUGAAUUGCAAAUUCAGUGAAUCAUCGAGUCUUUGAACGCACAUUGCGCCCCCUGGUAUUCCGGGGGGCAUGCCUGUACGAGCGUCAUUGCUGCCCUCAAGCACGGCUUGUGUGUUGGGCCCCGUCCUCCGAUCCCGGGGGACGGGCCCGAAAGGCAGCGGCGGCACCGCGUCCGGUCCUCGAGCGUAUGGGGCUUUGUCACCCGCUCUGUAGGCCCGGCCGGCGCUUGCCGAUCAACCCAAAUUUUUUAUCCAGGUUGACCUCGGAUCAGGUAGGGAUACCCGCUGAACUUAAGCAUAUCAAUAAGCGGAGGA
Molecule: unclassified non-coding RNA, 346 nt
Filed under: soil metagenome
Description: partial contains 5.8S ribosomal RNA, internal transcribed spacer 2, and large subunit ribosomal RNA
Rfam family: 5.8S ribosomal RNA (bases 1-119)
Source: RNAcentral